AUAUCAACGUAUCUUACCCGUGGUAAACCUUUUGCCGCUGGCAAAGACGAUGUGAUUUAGAUAUGGUAAAGAAAGUAUUUCGUCCUAAUUCUAUACCUGUUUUCCAAUAUGUUUUGUAACAAAAAGAUCAUUCAAAAUUGAAUGGCACAGCUUUCUUGGUUAGCUUAUUCUAGCAAAGAAGAUAAAACUUACUGUCUUCAUUGUACUUUGGUAGGCGCCAGUAUUCGAAAAAGUCUGGAAUAUUAAAUUUAGUUUUCAAGCCUCAUCAAAGUGGGGUUAUUUAUCACUAGAUAUCAGUAUUGAUAUUCAAGAAGUCUUGAUAUUCAAGAAGUGAGACCUAGAUUGUGUGACGUACAGAUUUACUGGAACAAUUAUCCAACAAAUACAGUUUGUGAUUAUUUUAAACAUACCAUUACUUCUCCAUUAAUUGAACAUCCUAUUAAUAUGCUAGAUAAUAGGUUUCCAGAAAAUGAUAUGUUUGCUUAUAAAGGUCUAGCAGCAGUUCCUUCAACUGUACUGUACAGAAUACAAGUUAAGAAACCAUGGAGAUCUAAUUUUUAUGAAUUUUUAAUUUUAUAUUCAUCUGAUAUGCCUCAUUUUACUUCAAUACAUGCUAAGUUAGAUUUAUGAGAACAAUUUUUCAAAACCAGUCAAAUAUUUCUUGUUGUUGCUGGUACUUUAAAGGUCAUUGACAUGAGAGGUUUUCCAAAUAUAAGGACAUCGUUUAUAUUAUUAGAAACAAUUCCAUUAACAACUUGUGAAUGUGAAAAAAUUAUUUCAGUUAUACAUAGGCUAAAAACACAAUCUAGAAAUAAUGUGAUUGAAUUUCGCUUUAACUCUUUAGAUUUAAUGUCCAUAUAUCAAGAAAUUUUUCAAGAUGUUAAAAGAGUCAUUUGCAUUUUUUCAAAAUCAGAAAAGGAAAGAAUUCAAAAAUGGAGGGUUAACCGUAGACAAAUUACUGUAUACAGAUGAAGAGCAAAGCCAUUUGGAUUACCUUCUCGUGCACUUUUUAAAGUUAAUUAAGCUUAAAAUUACAUUUAAUUUAUGAACGAAAUUGUGAAUUGAUGAACAAAAUAGCUUAGAUAACAUUUGUAAAAAUUUCUGUUAGAAAUAUACUACAAAGCAAAU
Hydra vulgaris (swiftwater hydra) is the source of this 1128-nucleotide long non-coding RNA. RefSeq lists it as uncharacterized. The record is from RefSeq and is a predicted model, not a curated record. NCBI's taxonomy places the organism in Eukaryota, Metazoa, Cnidaria, Hydrozoa, Anthoathecata, Hydridae.